Molecule: ribosomal RNA, 427 nt
Filed under: uncultured bacterium
Lineage: Bacteria
Description: partial 16S ribosomal RNA
Rfam family: Bacterial small subunit ribosomal RNA
Source: RNAcentral
UAGGGAAUCUUCCACAAUGGACGCAAGUCUGAUGGAGCAACGCCGCGUGAGUGAAGAAGGUCUUCGGAUCGUAAAGCUCUGUUGUUGGUGAAGAAGGAUAGAGGCAGUAACUGGUCUUUAUUUGACGGUAAUCAACCAGAAAGUCACGGCUAACUACGUGCCAGCAGCCGCGGUAAUACGUAGGUGGCAAGCGUUGUCCGGAUUUAUUGGGCGUAAAGCGAGCGCAGGCGGAAUGAUAAGUCUGAUGUGAAAGCCCACGGCUCAACCGUGGAACUGCAUCGGAAACUGUCAUUCUUGAGUGCAGAAGAGGAGAGUGGAACUCCAUGUGUAGCGGUGGAAUGCGUAGAUAUAUGGAAGAACACCAGUGGCGAAGGCGGCUCUCUGGUCUGCAACUGACGCUGAGGCUCGAAAGCAUGGUAGCGAACAG